UCACAGACUAUUUGGAGCAAUUCUUCGUUAUAGGCAUGCAUGUGGCAUAUGUUAUCUAAUUAUUUGGUACAUUCACAUGGUUAUUGAAAGGAUGAAGAUGCCCAAAAGGGGAGAAGGGGGGUAUUGGGAUAAUCUAAAUUCUCAAAAAAAAAAAACCCUAGCAUUUGGCCUAUUUCACCCCUUGUGUCGAAUAGUCCAAUACUUGUGCAGCC
Molecule: long non-coding RNA, 212 nt
Filed under: Sorghum bicolor (sorghum)
Lineage: Eukaryota; Viridiplantae; Streptophyta; Magnoliopsida; Poales; Poaceae
Description: long non-coding RNA (SBIC_LNC004145)
Source: RNAcentral